UGGCAUUAGAAUCGGAGCUGCGCCAGCCCCCGGGCUCUCAGGCAUACCAGGCUCUGGCAGGAGCAUUUCUUUCCAGGCCCCAGUGCCCUUGUUCUUAUCCUGCUAUUGGGCCUUUUAUAAGUGGACAGGGAAGAGGUGGCCAAACUCCUCAGACGUCUGUUUAGAUUGGAGUGACAGCAAAUGACCCAGCAGGAGGGGACUUUGAAGAUCAUGUGAUCCAGACUCUUCCUUUUAUGGAUGAAGGCACUGGGAGUCUGGAAGCAAAAUCUUGACUCAAAUGUUCACCAACAAGGACAGACCUGGGCUCUUUCGAAGACACAGGCGGGAUAACUCUGUGAGGGGUUGGUUGUUAGCACUCGACCUUGAAAAGAGUUGGCUGGGGAUUUGGAGAACCUUGGAAGGGCAGUGGAGGAGAAGAUCAGAGAAAUUUUUAAAAGUCACUCUGCUUAAAUGUCUAUCUGUUUCAUCCCUGGGCGGGGCUGGUCUGAGACAGCCACAUCAGCCAGUGGCAGAGACAGAGGACUCCAGGAAAAUAGCCCCUGGAAUUCAAAGAGCUGUAUUUCCAUCCCAGUUCUGCCACCUCCUUGCUGUGCGACUUUGGGUCAGGGGCUUGAUUGUCUGAGUGUUAAUUUCCUCCUCAACUGCGUGGAGAUAAUAAAGCCGUUGCCAACUGGCCUCAAAGGGUGGCUGGGGAGAAAAAAAUGAAAGACAAGAUGUGCAGGCAAUUUGAAAAUUGCCCCAUAUUAUGUAAAUAAUUAUUUGGGGCCUGGACAGAGUUCAAUUCCAUGGAGCUCUUUUAUUAUUACAGAAGGGAAUUUUUGGAUUCCCACGUGAUAGGCAAUGAGUUAGGCAAUUUCACCCGUUAUCUCAUUGAAUAUGUGCAACGAUCCUGCAUCUUUCUGUCUUGGUGACUUGGAAAAACCAGAUGUUUUUCUGCCCUGUGCUGGGCAGUACUCUCUGUCCUUGAGAAUUUUGUCAAGGGGGUUGUUACAUUUGAGAUUCCAGCGGAGUGUGGCUGAUGAGUGUGUUACCCUGAGAUGAUCACCUCAUAAAACAAGAACUGAUUGGAUAGAGGACCUAAUGUGCUCUUCAACAUGCAGUUGGUUUCACAUCCUAUUAAAUUUCCAAACCCUCCUAAAUAAGGGACUCAUGCACCCUGACCCUUCCUCUCCACCCCUCCCGCACCCACAUUCACUGAACAAUAGAUCGUCAGACGUUUCCUCUCUUCCCUGAGCACACACACCUUCCAUCUGAAUCAGGAGGAACACUUGAGAAUUCCAGGAAUGCAUUUAAUCACUUAAAAUUGAUGGGUGCCAUCUGUCUCUGAGGAAUUGAUACAAGAGCUGGGGAUUAUAGUGUGUGUUCUCGUGGAAGCAUGUUGCCAAAAAGACGACUCCUUUUGGGCUCAGGUUUGGUUUCAAAUCCAGGCUUUUAACAUUUUUUGUCUAAAUUGAUCUUGCAUAACUGUGUUGGAAAGUGUUCUCUCUUCUUUCUUUGCCUAUUGCUAGCUUGUUUGUUUGUUUAUUUAUUUAAACAGAAGAACGCCCCAUUUAAAAUUCAUCUUUUUUGAAUUCUAAAAACAGAAUUAGUUCUGCUUAAUUUUCAAGUAACAGGACUGUCAUUCCACAAAUCUUUAUGGAGCUCUUUCUAUGUGUCAGCCACUGUGCUGGGUACUGGGAUACCAGAUUCAAGGGUGGAUAUCCAGCCAUCCUUUUGUCCAUCCAUUCAUUCACUCAACAAGUGUUUACUGAGCACCUCCUGUGGGUAUCAGACACUGCCCUACGGGAAGGGGGCACAGAGUUGAACAAGACAGAAAUGAUCCCUGCUUUCACAGAUCUUACAGUCUUCCGGCAGCAUUAAAACAUGGGCUGUGCCCUCCAGAAGCUCACAACUUGGUGAGAAAGGCACAUCCACAACACCUGCAAACCAGUGUGUGAGGACUUCAGCACCAUUGUGUAGCAGAGUGCUCUAAAGUGUCCAAGGGAGGACGGGAAUGAUACUAAGGAAGGCUGGGUACAAGCUCUGGAGGCCUGAGACCUGAGUUUGAAUCGCAGCUCUGCCUCUGGUAGCUCUGUGACCUUGGCCUCCCCUUGUCUUGUGUGUCCUCUUUUGUGAAAUGGGGGUAGCAAUGGUAUCUACCCCAGGGCUGUGAAGCCUCAAUGAGGCACUGUUUGUAAAGCACUUAGCGCAGUGCUUGGUGGCUGCUCUUCUUCUUGCUCUUCUCCUCCUCCUCCUCCUUCUCCUCCUCCUCCUCCUCCUCCUCCUUCUCCUCCUCCUUCUCCUCCUCCUCCUCCUCCUCCUUCUCCUCCUCCUCCUCCUUCUCCUCCUCCUCCUCCUUCUCCUCCUCCUCCUCCUCCUUCUCCUCCUCCUCCUCCUCCUUCUCUUUUUUCCUCUUCUUCUUUUCUCUUCUUCUUUCUUCCUUCUUCUUCUACCUUCAGAGUCCAUUCUGGAUGAGUUCCUAGGAAGGUGAAGAUUCCAUUGGGUCCAAGAUGUGGUGAGCUGGUGAAAUGGAUCCAGCUGGUCUUGCUGCCAUCCUGGUCUAGCAGGGCAGUUCCUCGUGAGAGAAAGAGCAUGGGGCUCAGGCCGGGCUCUGCUUGUUGGCCUAGAUUGGCGUUUCUCAAAGUGUGGUCUGCAUGGAUAAUGUUUAGGUGGUGCAGAGGCAAACAGCGCACAAUGUUAAGAGCUACCAUAUUUUUAUGUGUAUUACAAAGAUACCAUCUUUCCAUUUAUGGUGGUUCUAUAAUGCUUCCCUUAAAAGUAAAAUUAUAUAAGUUAAAAAACUUGACUUGAUUUAAAGGAGAAUCUUAAGGACUAGAGAGGAGCAUGUGAACAUAGUAAAACCAUGAGCAGUAUUUGUGGAGGUUUGGGGAGUGCUGGCCUAGAAUGAGGUUCCUAAUGGUACCAGUUCUCCAGUUCUUUGUCUGUAAAUGGAAGUGACAACAUUACCUCCCAGGGGAGUAGAGGAUGACAUGAGAGAAUGCGUGUCAAGGGCCCUGCACGGUGCUUUGCAUGCAUGCCCACUUUACCUGAAGAUGCUCUGUCCCCACCUCACUCAGGAUUACAUUACUCUCUCUGAUUGUCUCCAUUGCCUGUGUCACUGUCUAAAAUUAUCUUGUUCACAAUCCUCUUCCAUAAUUCUGAAUUCCAAAUGCCCUGAAAACGGAACGUUAAAAAAAAUAGGUUUGGCACUCAUCAGUUUAUUUUUGACAUAAAUUUGCAGUUUUUGUAGGAAAAUCUGACCUAAACUGAUGUGAAACUAUCUUAUCCCCCUUAGUGUAAGUAUUGAUAUGUGUGGCUGCAGAACUCUUCGUGUGUUUGACUAGGAAGUGCUGACCCAGACUCUAUGGGGUAUAAUGCAUUAUAUGAAAUUUGAACGCAUGACUUCUCUGAAAUGUGAAAAAUUCUCUAUCCCCAGAAACAUCUGGUGGCAAAGGUUUCAGAUAAGGGAUUGCAGACCAAUCCUCUAGUUGUUUCCUGACCAUGAACAUGAGCUCCUCAAGGGUAGGAACCUCAUUUGUUUUAUUUAAUGCUGUACCCCCAGGCCUCGCCCAGAGAUUGGCACUUGGUGGGCAUUUAGUACCUGUGAGUGAAGCCAUUGAGUGGGUCUCCCUGUGGACCACCACGGCCUGGCUCUGCUGAGGGGGGUUCUGGCAGUUCAGCAAGGACAACUUUUGGCUGGCUGUCCCCUUGUGUUGGUAGGUAGCCGUCUAUUUUGACUAUGUCAGGGGCCAGCCUGAGACCUCUGGAACCAGGUAUGUCUCAGAGCUUUGCUCUAAGAGUCAUUAGGUUUACUUGGGAUGGUUCAGACUAGACAAAGCUAUCCAGAGAGGCCUUUCAAACCCAGUCCCCUGUGGCCUCGUAGGCUUCCAGAAUCUGGUGGCAGAUUCAAUGCCUGUGAAGCUAUUUGAACUAUGGGGAAAGCCUACAAGUCCCCACUCCGCUUCCUGACCCACCAGUGUAGCCCCCACGUCUCUGGACUGAUGUCUCCCAAAGCCUUGUGAUGACAUUUAUUCCCCUGACUGCCUCCCUGCCCAACUUCCUCAGACAGCACUGGGUCCUGCACUCCUUUUGGCAUCACAGAGCAUAUUGCAUGUAGCAGGGGUCUGAGAAAUAUUUAUUGAACGACUGGAUGGAUGAAUGAAUGAAAGAAAGGAUGAAUUGCAUCCUUCUUGACAUUUGACCCUCUCCCUUUUUCCUGGCAUGGUGCAAACCCCAUCUUCACCUCUGAGGGGCUGGCAUGUGUAUUUUGUUUUGCAAUAUACUCAACUAUCGUUCUUGGUUUUCCAGGCUCUGGCUGCCGCUUGGAGACGCUUCUUCUAAGCUGCAUCCUCAUCUUCACUUUCAUCUUCAUCAAGCAUCGCGUGAUCGCUUCCUAAGAGGGAUCCAGAAGACCGUCUGAGGCUCACUGAAUGCAGUUCCCCUCUUAGAAGACCCAGAAAACAUCACACCACACUCGGAGUGUAGAAAGCAUGUGACGCCAAGGAAUCGAAGCCAGGUGGACAGGCUGAGCAUUGGAUGAAGUGAGAGCAGCCCUUAGGUUGAGCAAGGAGAGCACUGAGGAGCUGUGUUAUGUGUGCAGUGGAGUUUUCCAGAGGCUACAUGACACGCGACACACAAGGGACUGAAUGCAGAAGGGAAUAGGAGAAUCCAGCUGUCUUCUAUUAAGCCAGACAUUAAACAGAUCUGCAGAAAUGUCAAACAAUGCCAC
Molecule: long non-coding RNA, 4708 nt
Organism: Equus caballus (horse)
Lineage: Eukaryota; Metazoa; Chordata; Mammalia; Perissodactyla; Equidae
Source: Ensembl